This 285-nucleotide long non-coding RNA is filed under the name Carica papaya (papaya). RNAcentral describes it as "long non-coding RNA (CPAP_LNC013829)". Lineage: Eukaryota; Viridiplantae; Streptophyta; Magnoliopsida; Brassicales; Caricaceae. The record is from RNAcentral.
UGGAGACAAAACUGACAAAAGAAUUAAUGUUAUUCUAUGCAACGUCGUAAAAAAACUUGUGCCGGGUGACGCAAAGUGGAUGGCGUGUCGUGAAUUGUCCGUCCUCCGCGACCCAUUAAACCAAACGUACGGACCUCCAUCAUCCAAUAAAAUAGCGAGUAUCCAAAUUUGUGUACUUUCGGGUAGAAGUCAUCUUUUACGCUAACACAGAUUUUACCCAUAGGUUUUGACAGCAGCGCCGCCUGGGGCGCUGCGGCUGGGAAAAGAAAGAAACUCAAUGCGUUU